AAUGGGCGAAAGCCUGACGCAGCCAUGCCGCGUGUGUGAAGAAGGCCUUCGGGUUGUAAAGCACUUUCGCCUGUGAAGAUAAUGACGGUAGCAGGUAAAGAAACCCCGGCUAACUCCGUGCCAGCAGCCGCGGUAAUACGGAGGGGGUUAGCGUUGUUCGGAAUUACUGGGCGUAAAGCGCGCGUAGGCGGAUUAGUCAGUCAGAGGUGAAAUCCCAGGGCUCAACCCUGGAACUGCCUUUGAUACUGCUAGUCUUGAGUUCGAGAGAGGUAAGUGGAAUUCCGAGCGUAGAGGUGAAAUUCGUAGAUAUUUGGAAGAACACCAGUGGCGAAAGCGACUUUCUGGCUAUUUUCUGACGCUGAGGAGCGAAAGCGUGGGGAGCAAACAGGAUU
This 392-nucleotide ribosomal RNA is filed under the name uncultured Gammaproteobacteria bacterium. RNAcentral describes it as "bacterial SSU rRNA". It matches the Rfam family "Bacterial small subunit ribosomal RNA", at positions 370 to 779 of the family's 1533-position model. The record is from RNAcentral. Lineage: Bacteria; Pseudomonadati; Pseudomonadota; Gammaproteobacteria.